Molecule: ribosomal RNA, 507 nt
Filed under: uncultured bacterium
Lineage: Bacteria
Description: partial 16S ribosomal RNA
Rfam family: Bacterial small subunit ribosomal RNA
Source: RNAcentral
GACGAACGCUGGCGGCGUGCCUAACACAUGCAAGUCGAACGCAUUUUCUUUCACCGUAGCUUGCUACACCGACGGACAAUGAGUGGCGAACGGGGGAGUAACCCGUGGGUAACCUGCCCAUCAGCGGGGGAUAACACUUGGAAACAGGAGCUAAUACCGCAUAAUUCCAUUUACUGCAUGGUAGAUGGCUGAAAGGCGCUUUUGCGUCACUUAUGGAUGGACCGGCGGUGCAUUGGCUAGUCGGUGGGGUAACGGCCUACCAAGGCUGGGAUGCAUCGCCGACCGGAGAGGGUGGUCAGCUGCACUGGGACUGAGACACGGCCCAGACUCCUUGGGGAGGCAGCAGUAGGGAAUCUUCGGCCAUGGGCGCAAGUCUGACCGAGCAACGCCGCGUGAGUAAAGAACGUUGUCGGGUCGGGAAACUCGGUCGUUAGGAAAGAACAAGGAUGAGAGUGGAAAGUUCAUACCGUGACGGUAUCUAACCAGAAAGCCACGGCUAACUACGUG